Molecule: transfer RNA, 69 nt
Filed under: Evania appendigaster
Lineage: Eukaryota; Metazoa; Arthropoda; Insecta; Hymenoptera; Evaniidae
Description: tRNA-Leu
Source: RNAcentral
AUUAUUUUGGCAGAAAUUUUAUGCAGUAAAUUUAGAAUUUAUUAAUAUAUACGGUGUAUAUAAAUAAUA